ACUCCUGCGGGAGGCAGCAGUGGGGAAUUUUGGACAAUGGGCGAAAGCCUGAUCCAGCAAUGCCGCGUGAGUGAAGAAGGCCUUCGGGUUGUAAAGCUCUUUUGUCAGGGAAGAAACGGUGAAAGCUAAUAUCUUUUGCUAAUGACGGUACCUGAAGAAUAAGCACCGGCUAACUACGUGCCAGCAGCCGCGGUAAUACGUAGGGUGCAAGCGUUAAUCGGAAUUACUGGGCGUAAAGCGUGCGCAGGCGGUUUUGUAAGUCUGAUGUGAAAUCCCCGGGCUCAACCUGGGAAUUGCAUUGGAGACUGCAAGGCUAGAAUCUGGCAGAGGGGGGUAGAAUUCCACGUGUAGCAGUGAAAUGCGUAGAUAUGUGGAGGAACACCGAUGGCGAAGGCAGCCCCCUGGGUCAAGAUUGACGCUCAUGCACGAAAGCGUGGGGAGCAAACAGGAUUAGAUACCCCGGUAGUCCCAUG
Molecule: ribosomal RNA, 473 nt
Filed under: uncultured organism
Description: partial 16S ribosomal RNA
Rfam family: Bacterial small subunit ribosomal RNA
Source: RNAcentral